This is a long non-coding RNA of Lemur catta (Ring-tailed lemur), 525 nucleotides long. RefSeq lists it as uncharacterized. The transcript has 3 exons. Lineage: Eukaryota; Metazoa; Chordata; Mammalia; Primates; Lemuridae. The record is from RefSeq and is a predicted model, not a curated record.
CGCCCGGCCACCCCUACCCUUGCCUUGUCCCGCCCCCGCGGCGCAGACUGGGAAUAAAAGCGCUGGGAGUGGUCCUUGUCCAGCUCCCCACCCUUCCUUACCUCUUGUAAACCAACCGGCCUGGGUUAACCUCUGCUCCUGUUCCUCGCCCAACCUUCAAGCUGUGGCAAUAAAAGAGGAAUGAAAAUUUCGAAAGCGCCUAGCAAAUUGCAAAGCCCGGGCUAUCGCUAAGUUUCUUGUAAUUACGUCCAGGUGAAGACGAAAAGAAGUGAAAGGACUCUCCAAAGGACAGCCUCGGGCGUGCUCAAAAAGAGAUCUGCUGUGUGUGAGAUGCAGUAUUCCAUCAAUCAACGUCUUGUGACUUGUUAUUUAAGCUUGAUCGAUGAAAUGAUGAUUAAGAAGGAAAUUCGCCUUGCCUUGUUUUUAGAGGACAAGAGCAAUGCUAUAUGUGGACAGAAAGUGGAGAAGGUCAGCGGGUUUUGCAGAGUCACAGAAGAGAGAUUAUCACAGGAAACCAACAAUGGA